This 253-nucleotide ribosomal RNA is filed under the name uncultured bacterium. RNAcentral's name for it is "partial 16S ribosomal RNA". It matches the Rfam family "Bacterial small subunit ribosomal RNA", at positions 524 to 776 of the family's 1533-position model. The record is from RNAcentral.
UACGUAGGCAGCAAGCGUUGUUCGGAGUUACUGGGCGUAAAGGGUGCGUAGGCGGCUUCUUAAGUCUGGUGUGAAAUCUCCCGGCUCAACUGGGAGGGUGCGCCGGAUACUGAGGGGCUAGAGUGUGGGAGAGGAAAGUGGAAUUCCUGGUGUAGCGGUGAAAUGCGUAGAUAUCAGGAGGAACACCGGUGGUGUAAACGGCUUUCUGGACCAUAACUGACGCUGAGACACGAAAGCGUGGGUAGCAAACAGG